GCCCGGCUAGCUCAAUCGGUAGAGCGUGAGACUCUUAUAUGACUCGUAGCCAGCCCCCGAGCGGUUCCGAGAAAGAAAAAGGUCAUCUCAAGGUUGUGGGUUCGACCCCCACGUCGGGCU
Schizothecium vesticola is the source of this 120-nucleotide non-coding RNA. The record is from the annotation of a GenBank genome assembly. NCBI's taxonomy places the organism in Eukaryota, Fungi, Ascomycota, Sordariomycetes, Sordariales, Schizotheciaceae.